This 423-nucleotide ribosomal RNA is filed under the name uncultured prokaryote. RNAcentral describes it as "bacterial SSU rRNA". It matches the Rfam family "Bacterial small subunit ribosomal RNA", at positions 355 to 774 of the family's 1533-position model. The record is from RNAcentral.
UGAGGAAUAUUGGUCAAUGGGCGCAAGCCUGAACCAGCCAUCCCGCGUGCAGGAAGACGGCCCUAUGGGUUGUAAACUGCUUUUCCAGGGGGAGAAACUUGCGCACGUGUUGCGCAAUUGACGGUACCCUGGGAAUAAGCAUCGGCUAACUCCGUGCCAGCAGCCGCGGUAAUACGGAGGAUGCGAGCGUUAUCCGGAUUCAUUGGGUUGAAAGGGGGCGUAGGCGGACUAUUAAGUCAGUGGUGAAAUCCUGCAGCUUAACUGCAGAACUGCCAUUGAUACGGAUAGCCUUGAGUUUGGUUAAGGUAGGCGGAAUGUGUAAUGUAGCGGUGAAAUGCUUAGAUAUUACACAGAACACCAAUUGCGUAGGCAGCUUACUGAGCCGACACUGACGCUGAGGCACGAAAGCGUGGGGAUCGAACA